CCUACGGGUGGCUGCAGUGGGGAAUAUUGGACAAUGGGGGGAACCCUGAUCCAGCCAUGCCGCGUGUGUGAAGAAGGCCCUCGGGUUGUAAAGCACUUUCAGUGAGGAAGAACGCCUGGUGGUUAAUACCCAUCAGGAAAGACAUCACUCACAGAAGAAGCACCGGCUAACUCCGUGCCAACAGCCGCGGUAAUACGGAGGGUGCGAGCGUUAAUCGGAAUUACUGGGCGUAAAGCGCGCGUAGGUGGCUUGAUAAGCCGGUUGUGAAAGCCCCGGGCUCAACCUGGGAACGGCAUCCGGAACUGUCAAGCUAGAGUGCAGGAGAGGAAGGUAGAAUUCCCGGUGUAGCGGUGAAAUGCGUAGAGAUCGGGAGGAAUACCAGUGGCGAAGGCGGCCUUCUGGACUGACACUGACACUGAGGUGCGAAAGCGUGGGUAGCAAACAGGAUUAGAUACCCUUGUAGUC
Molecule: ribosomal RNA, 465 nt
Filed under: Vreelandella stevensii
Lineage: Bacteria; Pseudomonadati; Pseudomonadota; Gammaproteobacteria; Oceanospirillales; Halomonadaceae
Description: partial 16S ribosomal RNA
Rfam family: Bacterial small subunit ribosomal RNA
Source: RNAcentral